Molecule: ribosomal RNA, 301 nt
Filed under: uncultured bacterium
Lineage: Bacteria
Description: partial 16S ribosomal RNA
Rfam family: Bacterial small subunit ribosomal RNA
Source: RNAcentral
CAGUAGCCGCGGUAAUACGUAGGUCCCGAGCGUUGUCCGGAUUUAUUGGGCGUAAAGCGAGCGCAGGCGGUUAGAUAAGUCUGAAGUUAAAGGCUGUGGCUUAACCAUAGUACGCUUUGGAAACUGUUUAACUUGAGUGCAAGAGGGGAGAGUGGAAUUCCAUGUGUAGCGGUGAAAUGCGUAGAUAUAUGGAGGAACACCGGUGGCGAAAGCGGCUCUCUGGCCUGUAACUGACGCUGAGGCUCGAAAGCGUGGGGAGCAAACAGGAUUAGAUACCCCCGUAGUCCCUGUCUCUUAUACC